CAGCCGCCGCGGGAAUACGUAGGUCCCGAGCGUUGUCCGGAUUUAUUGGGCGUAAAGCGAGCGCAGGCGGUUAGAUAAGUCUGAAGUUAAAGGCUGUGGCUUAACCAUAGUACGCUUUGGAAACUGUUUAACUUGAGUGCAAGAGGGGAGAGUGGAAUUCCAUGUGUAGCGGUGAAAUGCGUAGAUAUAUGGAGGAACACCGGUGGCGAAAGCGGCUCCCUGGCUUGUGACUGACGCUGAGGCUCGAAAGCGUGGGGAGCAAACAGGAUUAGAGACCCCUGUAGUCCCUGUCUCUUAUACA
This 301-nucleotide ribosomal RNA is filed under the name uncultured bacterium. RNAcentral describes it as "partial 16S ribosomal RNA". It matches the Rfam family "Bacterial small subunit ribosomal RNA", at positions 509 to 808 of the family's 1533-position model. The record is from RNAcentral.